GAGUCGCGUUUCGCGAAUUUG
RNAcentral lists this microRNA (21 nucleotides) under Pristionchus pacificus. Its description in RNAcentral is "ppc-miR-8312-5p". Lineage: Eukaryota; Metazoa; Nematoda; Chromadorea; Rhabditida; Neodiplogasteridae. The record is from miRBase by way of RNAcentral.